GUAGUUAGCCGGGGCUUUCUUACAGGGUACCGUCACUUCUUCGUCCCCUGCGACAGAGGUUUACAAUCCGAAAACCUUCUUCCCUCACGCGGCGUUGCUGGGUCAGGCUUGCGCCCAUUGCCCAAUAUUCCCCACUGCUGCCUCCCGUAGGAGUCUGGACCGUGUCUCAGUUCCAGUGUGGCCGAUCAGCCUCUCAGCUCGGCUACCCAUCGUCGGCUUGGUGGGCUGUUAUCUCACCAACUACCUAAUGGGACGCGAACCCCUCUAAAAGCGAUAAAUCUUUGACCUCUUCCCGAUGCCGGGUUGUGGUCUUAUGCGGUAUUAGCAGUUGUUUCCACCUGUUAUUCCCCACUCUUAGGCAGGUUGUUCACGCGUUACUCACCCGUGCGCCACUAGAAUUAUUAAUUCCAUCCGAAAACUUCCUUAAUAAUCCCCGUUCGACUUGCAUGUGUUAGGCACGCCGCCAGCGUCGUCCUGAGCCACGAAUCAAACUACUGA
Molecule: ribosomal RNA, 498 nt
Filed under: uncultured bacterium
Lineage: Bacteria
Description: partial 16S ribosomal RNA
Source: RNAcentral